UUGUUGCUCCUAGAUUGAUUUUGAUGACUACAAAACAGUUUGAAGGGAUACAAAUAUUUUUUAUUUGAAAAAGACCUUAUGCUCUACAAGGGCAAAAUCAUAAUUUUAUCAAAACUCUGAUUUGAUAGCAUCAUCGUGUAGAACAAAUGAUAUGUAAUCUAUUGGUGAAAGUUUCAUGGUUUUUGGACUUAUAUUUUUGGAGUUAUGAAGGUUUGAAGUUCAUGAGUCGACUCAUGAGUCAACUCAUGAAACUAUGAGCUGAUUGGCACGCAAAGAUUAGCCAUGGCACGCUGGUUUUCUGGCUUAGCACAACCUGUGAGUCGACUCAUGAGUCGACCCACAAGGCNN
Molecule: long non-coding RNA, 348 nt
Filed under: Elaeis guineensis (African oil palm)
Lineage: Eukaryota; Viridiplantae; Streptophyta; Magnoliopsida; Arecales; Arecaceae
Description: long non-coding RNA (EGUI_LNC014297)
Source: RNAcentral